UGGGGAAUUUUGGACAAUGGGCGCAAGCCUGAUCCAGCCAUGCCGCGUGCGGGAAGAAGGCCUUCGGGUUGUAAACCGCUUUUGUCAGGGAAGAAAUCUUCUGAGUUAAUACCUCGGGAGGAUGACGGUACCUGAAGAAUAAGCACCGGCUAACUACGUGCCAGCAGCCGCGGUAAUACGUAGGGUGCAAGCGUUAAUCGGAAUUACUGGGCGUAAAGCGUGCGCAGGCGGUUUUGUAAGACAGAGGUGAAAUCCCCGGGCGCAACCUGGGAACUGCCUUUGUGACUGCAAGGCUUGAGUGCGGCAGAGGGGGAUGGAAUUCCGCGUGUAGCAGUGAAAUGCGUAGAUAUGCGGAGGAACACCGAUGGCGAAGGCAAUCCCCUGGGCCUGCACUGACGCUCAUGCACGAAAGCGUGGGGAGCAAACAGGAUUAGAUACCCUGGUAGUCCACGCCCUAAACGAUGUCAACUGGUUGUUGGGAAGGUUCCUUCUCAGUAACGUAGCUAACGCGUGAAGUUGACCGCCUGGGGAGUACGGCCGC
RNAcentral lists this ribosomal RNA (541 nucleotides) under uncultured bacterium. Its description in RNAcentral is "partial 16S ribosomal RNA". It matches the Rfam family "Bacterial small subunit ribosomal RNA", at positions 355 to 889 of the family's 1533-position model. The record is from RNAcentral.